This 86-nucleotide transfer RNA is filed under the name Desulfosporosinus sp. RNAcentral's name for it is "tRNA-Leu". It matches the Rfam family "tRNA". Rfam says of the family: Transfer RNA (tRNA) molecules are approximately 80 nucleotides in length. Their secondary structure includes four short double-helical elements and three loops (D, anti-codon, and T loops). RNAcentral also lists the same sequence under 5 other names. Lineage: Bacteria; Bacillati; Bacillota; Clostridia; Eubacteriales; Desulfitobacteriaceae. The record is from RNAcentral.
GCCGAUGUGGCGGAAUUGGCAGACGCACCGCACUCAAAAUGCGGCGGAUAACUUCCAUGCCGGUUCGACUCCGGCCAUCGGCACCA